ACCACAGUAGUGUAGUGGUUUGAAUGUUGGACUAGGACUCCUGGAGAUUAGGGUUCAAAUCCCUGCUCAGCUG
RNAcentral lists this transfer RNA (73 nucleotides) under Phrynosoma platyrhinos (Desert horned lizard). RNAcentral describes it as "tRNA-OTHER". Lineage: Eukaryota; Metazoa; Chordata; Lepidosauria; Squamata; Phrynosomatidae. The record is from RNAcentral.